GAGUUUGAUCGUGGCUCAGAACGAACGCUGGCGGCAGGCCUAACACAUGCAAGUCGAACGCACUCUUCGGAGUGAGUGGCAGACGGGUGAGUAACGCGUGGGAACCUUCCCAAUGGUGCGGAAUAGCCCAGGGAAACUUGGGGGUAAUACCGCAUACGCCCUACGGGGAAAGGAUUAUCGCCAUUGGAUGGGCCCGCGUCGGAUUAGCUUGUUGGUGAGGUAAUGGCUCACCAAGGCAACGAUCCGUAGCUGGUUUGAGAGAAUGACCAGCCACACUGGGACUGAGACACGGCCCAGACUCCUACGGGAGGCAGCAGUGGGGAAGUCUUGGACAAUGGGCGAAAGCCUGAUCCAGCCAUGCCGCGUGAGUGACGAAGGCCUUAGGGUUGUAAAGCUCUUUUGGCGGGACGAUAAUGACGGUACCCGCAGAAUAAGUCCCGGCUAACUUCGUGCCAGCAGCCGCAGUAAC
Molecule: ribosomal RNA, 469 nt
Filed under: uncultured microorganism
Description: bacterial SSU rRNA
Rfam family: Bacterial small subunit ribosomal RNA
Source: RNAcentral